UAGAUAGAAACCGACCUGGCUCACGCCGGUUUAAACUCAGAUCAUGUAAAAUUUUAAAGGUCGAACAGACCUAGACUUGCCAGCUUCUACACCAACAACUAAUUUUAAUCCAACAUCGAGGUCGCAACCUUUUUUUUCGAUAAGAACUCUAAAAAAAAUUACGCUGUUAUCCCUAAGGUAAUUUAUUCUUUAAAUCUUUAAUAUAGGAUCUUAUAACCAUAAAUAAAUGUACUUACAAAAAAAAAGUUUAUUAAAUUUUUUUGUCACCCCAACAAAAUUAUUAAAAUAAGCUAAACCCCUUUAAAAUAGCAUACUUUUAAAAAUAAAACUCUAUAGGGUCUUCUCGUCUUCUACUUAAAUUUAAGCUUUCUCACUUAAAAAUAAAAUUCUAAUAAAUUUUUUUAGAGACAGAACUUUUCUCAUCAAGCCUUUCAUUCCAGCUUUCAAUUAAAAAACUAAUGACUAUGCUACCUUUGUACGGUCAAAAUACCGCAGCCAUUUAAAUUAUCAUUGGGCAGGCCARACUUGAAAUUAUAAUCAACAARACAUGUUUUUAAUAA
RNAcentral lists this ribosomal RNA (560 nucleotides) under Trigonopterus sp. 251 MB-2011. Its description in RNAcentral is "partial 16S ribosomal RNA". The record is from RNAcentral. Lineage: Eukaryota; Metazoa; Arthropoda; Insecta; Coleoptera; Curculionidae.